UACGUAGGGGGCUAGCGUUGUCCGGAUUCACUGGGCGUAAAGGGUGCGCAGGCGGCCAAGUGUGUGAGGCGUGAAAGCCCGGGGCUUAACCCCGGAAUUGCACCUCAAACUACAUGGCUAGAGCAUUGGAGAGGGUAGCGGAAUUCACGGUGUAGCAGUGAAAUGCGUAGAUAUCGUGAGGAACACCAGAGGCGAAGGCGGCUACCUGGACAAUUGCUGACGCUCAGGCACGAAAGCGUGGGGAGCAAAAGGG
Molecule: ribosomal RNA, 253 nt
Filed under: uncultured bacterium
Lineage: Bacteria
Description: partial 16S ribosomal RNA
Rfam family: Bacterial small subunit ribosomal RNA
Source: RNAcentral